UACGUAGGAGGCUAGCGUUGUCCGGAUUUAUUGGGCGUAAAGAGCGUGUAGGCGGCCAGAUAGGUCUGCUGUGAAAACUCGAGGCUCAACCUCGAGCUGUCGGCGGAAACCAUUUGGCUAGAGUCCGGAAGAGGAGAGUGGAAUUCCUGGUGUAGCGGUGAAAUGCGCAGAUAUCAGGAAGAACACCUAUGGCGAAGGCAGCUCUCUGGGACGGUACUGACGCUGAGACGCGAAAGCGUGGGGAGCGAACAGG
RNAcentral lists this ribosomal RNA (253 nucleotides) under uncultured bacterium. RNAcentral's name for it is "partial 16S ribosomal RNA". It matches the Rfam family "Bacterial small subunit ribosomal RNA", at positions 524 to 776 of the family's 1533-position model. The record is from RNAcentral.